Molecule: ribosomal RNA, 798 nt
Filed under: Triticum aestivum (bread wheat)
Lineage: Eukaryota; Viridiplantae; Streptophyta; Magnoliopsida; Poales; Poaceae
Description: partial small subunit ribosomal RNA
Source: RNAcentral
AUGAACAUUCCUUUGAGCACUUCAGCUUCAGGUGAUUGGUGGGCUUGGCACUACGAGCGUUUUGGGUCUUUCUUGGUCCGAUCAACGUAUCGCAUGUUAGUUGAUACAAAGAGAAGAAGGGAGGACUGGCUAGAGCAACGAGAGAGUACGUCGGAUACUCGUGCAACUCAAAUUCAGUGGAAAAAACUCUGGAAGGCCAAGGUACCGGGAAAGGUCAAAUUUUUUGCAUGGAGGCUGGCAAAAAAUUCUGUUCCGACGGGCGAACUACUUAAACAUCGCCAUAUCUCUGAGACGGAAGCUUGCUUCCUGUGCAAUGCUGAAUCGGAUUCUUGGCGUCACGCACUAAUUGACUGUCAGUUGUCAAAGUGUGUUUGGGCAUUGAUUGAUAAUGAGCUGGUUGAGCACAUGAUCGCCUGUACAUUUCAUGACGCAAGGUUGUGGCUACCAACGAUGCAGAAUUCCUUAUCUGAGAAGGAAUUUGCAAAGAUCCUAGUUACCUUGUGGGCUAUUUGGUGGGCGAGACAAAAGGCGAAACAUGAGGAAAUAUUUCGAAGCCCACUGACCACUUUUGCUUUUAUUCAGAGGUUCCUUGCUGAGCUUGAUUCACUGUCUGGUAAGGGGAAGAAACAGCAAGGGAAAUCAGGCAACGUAGCUGCUAAACAUUGGCUGAAGAGUGAAGUGGGUGUAGCAAAAAUCAACGUGGACGCGGCACUGUCCAGAAACAAUGACAGAGGAGCAAGUGCGGCUUUAUGCCGCGAUGACCAGGGAAACUAUUUGGGUGCUUCUGUUAGUGUUUGA